Molecule: ribosomal RNA, 253 nt
Filed under: uncultured prokaryote
Description: partial 16S ribosomal RNA
Rfam family: Bacterial small subunit ribosomal RNA
Source: RNAcentral
UACGUAGGAGGCAAGCGUUGUCCGGAAUCACUGGGCGUGAAGCGCGUGUAGGUGGAAGAGGAAGUCUGCUGUGAAAGCGCCUGGCUUAACCGGGCGAGGUCGGUGGAAACUCCUCAUCUAGAGGUCGGUAGAGGGGGGUGGAAUUCCGGGUGUAGUGGUGAAAUGCGUAGAGAUCCGGAGGAACACCCGUGGCGAAGGCGGCCCCCUGGGCCGCACCUGACGCUGAGACGCGAAAGCGCGGGGAGCGAACGGG